This 442-nucleotide ribosomal RNA is filed under the name uncultured bacterium. RNAcentral's name for it is "partial 16S ribosomal RNA". It matches the Rfam family "Bacterial small subunit ribosomal RNA", at positions 338 to 795 of the family's 1533-position model. The record is from RNAcentral.
CCUACGGGCGGCAGCAGUAGGGAAUCUUUCACAAUGGGCGAAAGCCUGAUGGAGCAACGCCGCGUGCAGGAUGAAGGCCUUCGGGUUGUAAACUGCUUUUAUAAGCGAGAAAUAUGAUGGUAACUUAUGAAUAAGGAUCGGCUAACUACGUGCCAGCAGCCGCGGUCAUACGUAGGAUCCGAGCAUUAUCCGGAGGGACUGGGUGUAAAGAGUUGCGUAGGUGGCAUAAUAAGUAGCUAGUGAAAUCUGGUGGCUCAACCAUUCAGACUAUUAGCUAAACUGUUAAGCUCGAGACCGUUAGGGGUAACUGGAAUUUCUAGUGUAGGAGUGAAAUCCGUAGAUAUUAGAAGGAACACCAAUAGCGUAGGCAGGUUGCUGGGACGGUUCUGACACUAAGGCACGAAAGCGUAGGGAGCAAACGGGAUUAGAUACCCCAGUAGUC